CAUUAGAUAACUAAAAGUUAGUACUGGUCUCUUAAAUCAUCUUAUAGUAAAUUAACGUCUACUUCUAAUGA
This 71-nucleotide transfer RNA is filed under the name Stenotrachelus aeneus. RNAcentral describes it as "tRNA-Lys". Lineage: Eukaryota; Metazoa; Arthropoda; Insecta; Coleoptera; Stenotrachelidae. The record is from RNAcentral.